Long non-coding RNA from Hyaena hyaena (striped hyena), 881 nucleotides. RefSeq lists it as uncharacterized. The record is from RefSeq and is a predicted model, not a curated record. Lineage: Eukaryota; Metazoa; Chordata; Mammalia; Carnivora; Hyaenidae. The transcript is spliced from 3 exons.
CCCCACGGCCCGGCCUGAGCAUGGGAGCGCGGCGCCGCGGGAAUCGCCUUCUGGGUUCCGGCCGCGGUCGCUCUGUGGACCGACACUGGUGAACCCUGCCCUUGAGGAGGCUGCGGCCUCGUCGUCACCGCGAGAAGGGCCCCUGGACCCCGUGGUGCUUAGCGCCGCAGGCCAUUGGGAUCCAGCCCUUCUCUGAAUCCAGCGAAGGCGGCCUUUCCGCCCGGCGGUAGAGACGCUUCCCGCCCGCUCUGGAAUGAUAUUCCGGGAACACCUCGGUUGUUGAGCUAAAAUUCCUGUUGUCCGGGCUACUAAAUGGGAAUCAGUUUCACGCGGAACCUCUAAACUGUGUGACAGGUCACAUGGGGGAGGUGAAGGGGACCCAAGGUGCACGUCCUCCACAGCUCUCCUGAUGUAGGGUUUCUCUAGGGCUAAUGCCCAUGUCACCUCACAUCCCAGCGGUACCUCAGCUUCUCAUGCUUUGUAGCAAGAGAGGAUUGAUGUUGGAAUUCAGCAGAUUGGACACAACUGAUACAAUGUAGUCCGGUUAUGAGUAACUUGGCUAAAGAUUCCACAGCUUGAAUGGUAGAGCUAGAAAUCAAAGCCCUGAUUCAUCUUUCUGUUUCCAGAGUCAGUGCUUCUCUUACUAUGCUACUUUGAAGAUUGUUCACUCUGUUGAUAAAGCUUGUCAUUAUUUUCCUAGGAUUUUUGUGAAGGAGACGAUGUCAGGUUGCUUGCUUUACUAAACUAAUUUUGAUCAUUUCAUUUAGGUUAUAUGAGGCAGUAGGAUGGAUACAAGGAGGUUAAGAUGUGUUCCAUAUUAAUUCAAUGAAAUAUGCAUUUACUGAAUGCAACUGAACAUAAACCAUCAUAGUAGCUGUUAU